This 5415-nucleotide long non-coding RNA is filed under the name Zea mays. Its description in RNAcentral is "long non-coding RNA (ZMAY_LNC005172)". Lineage: Eukaryota; Viridiplantae; Streptophyta; Magnoliopsida; Poales; Poaceae. The record is from RNAcentral.
GCACAGGAUCGAAUGUCACAUCUUUAUAUAUAACAGGAGUUCUAUACAAAAUAAAUAAUUACAUUAUAAGGAGACAACGGUCCAGCAACCCAAAGUUGACUGGGAGACGACGGCCUAGACCACUCACGAACUCAUCACAGCAUCCUCCACGCGCCUCAUCCUGUGGUACCUGCUCCUGACCUGUGGGGGGGUGUGAGACAGCAAGAGUGAGCUCACAUACGUUCAUCGCUCAGCAAGUUGUGGGGAAUAAUGUGUAUGAACUCGCCAAAGGUGGGAGCUCAUGUGAAGUGUAAGGCUUACCAAAGAGGAUGGCUGAAGCUGAGCAUUGCUUUUAAAGUUGGUCAAAUUUUUAUUAGCCAUUACUAAGUAUAAGUAAAUACCAACCCAAUUAAAUAGUAGAACAGAAGUAACAACAUCACCUGCGAUGCAAUGCAUAUGACAAAUUGAAUUUAAGUUCCAUAGAUUAAUCAUGUGAGUGUCCGAGCCGCUCAUGACCGUGAGCACGGCUAGUAUACCAGUUUUACACUCUGCAGAGGUUGCGCAUCUUUACCCACAAGUCAUGUUACCCAUCUGCCAAGGGAUCGCGACUUCCCAUACACCUCUACCGAGGAGGCGAGGCAGGGUAACACUACGAGGCCUUUACAAAGUUCCACUAGCUUCAGAAAACCCGCUACAGUUUAUAGGAAGCUCCAAUGCAGGAAUCCCUUGCAGGACCGCCAUCACAGCAAAAUCCUCCCGAGGGCCUCCCCAGGAAUCCCUUGCAGGACCGCCAUCACAGCAAAAUCCUCCCGAGGGCCUUCCCAGGAAUCCCUUGCAGGACCGCCAUCACAGCAAAAUCCUCCCGAGGGCCUCCCUACACUGACCACUCCCCUACUGCCCUUGCCCCUUUCGGGUAAGGUAGUCUUCCACUAGCUUUCCUAAUAAAUCGGCCAAGGGCGUCCCAUUAAACCCUUGUGGUAGCACUGUUUUCCCGGGUGGUUCUCCAUGUUCCAAUUAACAUAAUGAUCUUAUCAUGAACAGUGAUAAUAAACAGAUAAUAAAAGUGUGAUCAUGAAUAAUGUAUCUUCAUACCCAAACCACAUAAAGCACUAGCAAGUACUACCCAAAAAGUUCAGUGGUAAACAAGGUAUAAAGAUAGACAAACUAGGGUAACCUAUUGGGUCCCAUCAAAAUUAACCUAUGCAGAUCAUUAUGAUUAAUCAGAACAUGGCUGGGUAAAAAGAAGUGAUCAAGGGCACAACUUGCCUGGCACUUGAGAUUCCAGGUACCAACUUGCUCUUCAGGUGACACGUGUCCUCACGCUAGUCGUAGCAAUACAAACAAGUAGUGUAUAGGCAAAAUUAACAUCACACCAAACAUAAGAACAAACUGCGUAAUAACGAUCUACGCGAUACUACGAGAUCGUAGAAACAAGAACCACUAAAUUCGGAGCUACGGAUAUUGAGUUAUGAAUUUCCGAAAUCAAUUAGCACCUAGAAUAGAUUAAUUCAAUUGAGCAAUUUUAAUUCAAGUUUCAUGGUUAAACAAAGGUACUAAGUGAUAAACGAUAUUAAAACAAAAUUAAUGCCACUGAAAUGAAUCAAUUUGGAGUUAAAAUGAAUUAAAUAUGAAUUAAACAAGUUUUAAGAUUUAUUUUUAUACUACAAAUCAAUUUCUAAUAUUAAUUAUCUAGUUUCUCUGUUAUCUGGACUGCGCGUCAUUUACUAAGAAGCUCGAGGUUUAAUUCGCAAAAUCUACCAGACUCAACCCUGACCCGAGGUGGACGGCGGGUUGAUUCUUAUACUUCUCAGGGUCUCUUGUGUAAAACGCCUACGACGAAGGGGUAUGGUUAAUUCUGAGCCGCGAGAUCAGAUAGCGACGGUCCAGAUUAGAUCUGCCCCCAACGAACCGGUACGCGAUCACAUCCGUCCGAUCGACGACCGACGACGCGGAUUUAAAAUACUCCAACCCGCCCAGAAUCGCCCGAUCGAGAUCAAAUGGCUCAUAACCAAACUGGGCGAACCGGCAUCCAUAUCUAAUCGUGGCCACAUGCCCAUGAUCCAACGGCUGGCCGGGUUUCUUCCUCCCACGACGACUCCGGGCGGUGCCACUGUGUGCCCACGGCGGCGCCGUUGACAGCAACUGGGCAACCCGACCGGCCAGCGAUUCGGCCCCAAAUCGAAUCAAGGCUACCCGUUAAGAAGCCAACAACGAACGUGUGAGGGGGUUUCUUACCGGAUUUUAUGUUGCGAAGUCGUCCGCCCACGGUGGCGGCAAUUCUUCGAACGCCGGCGACGAAUUACGCCAGCAACGCAUGCCAAACGCACCCGGGAAAACCACGUACGGAAGCGGUGAACACCGGCGAUGCCCCAGGACCCGUCGUCGAGGCCAGAGCAACGAGGAGGACGCAGAUCAAUGGUGGCGGCAACCUCUCUGUUCCAUCUCUCUCCCAUGGAUUCGCUCAGCAAUAUGGAUCACGGCGGCUACUAACCCUCUUGGCGAGCACACGAUGGCGGCGUCAAUCGGGCACUGGACGAAGGUGAGGGCAAGUGGCUACGCGGCGGCUGUGAGGUCUUCCAACGGCGCGCGGCGUUGGGUUUCCUCCCGUGAUUUCUCUCUCCUCUGUUCUUGUGACCACGGUGGACCUCGGCGUUCGUUCACAGGGUCGGGCGAGGGAGCAGGGCUCGGGAUUUAUAGCGCCGCGGAUUCCGCAAGAGCUGGCGGGAGAACCGCGCCCUUCCAGGCCGAGUUCGUUCGAUCCGCACGGAUUCCGCGCCACCGGUACCGAGGUAGACAGAGAUACGCGCGUUUCUGUUACGAACGACGCGGCGGAGAAGAAGGAGCUGACCAUGCGGCCCCACGCGUAAGCGCCGCGAGCGGAACGCGAGAAGGAUAAGAGUGGCGGCAGCAGCGGAGCUGGCGGGCGCUGAUGGGCCUAGGGUUUAGGUUAGUUGGGCCAGGGAAAUUUGGCCCGCACAGGUAUGAGUCUCCUUUUCUGUUUUUUUUUUUUACUUUCUUAUUUUUGGCUGAGUUCAUAAAGUUCAAAUUCAAAUUUAAAUUUAAACAAAUUCUAAAUGCACAUUCAAAAUUCCAAUAUGAUGCAAAGUAUAUUUAUUUAUUAUUCCUAUUUCUCUAAAUAAACAUGCUUCAACACAUAAAGAAUGAAUCAUACAAUUAAAUAAUUAAGUACCCUUCUUGUAUUAUUAAAUAGAGUUAGUAAUAACUUAUUUCAAGAUUUAAAUGUUUAUUACCAUGAAAUCUUCAUGAGACAACACUUUCGUAUAAUUAUUUAGAGAAUAGUUUAAAGCAUAAGAUUUAAUGUUUAAUUAUUUAAGUCCCUAGAGGUUCUUUUCAUCGAUUACCUUGCUUCAAAACACAAGAAUUUAAUAUCUUGAGAAAUCUUUCCAAAUUUACCAGGAAUAUAAUUUUAGGUUGUUACAAAUUCUACCCCCCUUAAUAGAAAUCUCGUCCUCGAGAUUUGUAAGGACAGGGAUGUAAAAAGCUCUAUUUAUAAUUUAGCCUUUAACUUCUAAUUAGUUUAAGAAUUAAGAAGUUUCAUGUUAUUUAGAUAGUGGUUAUGAAAGCAUGGGUAUGUAUAUCCACUUUAUUAUGUAGUAUAAUAAGAUGUCUUUAAAGUAUGGAUGGGUUUGGGUACGAAAGAGUAAGGUAAGGAAAGACUCCAUCAAGAUUAUGGAUCUUGAUUCCUUUCAAAAUCUGGCUUGAAUCUUAUCUUUCCUUGAUUUGACGAGGUUGAUCACCUUUGAUCUUUGGUCUUGACAUCAUCAUCCGAGCUACCGACAUAUAGUUAGAAUAGCUUGUAGAUAAGAACAUUUAGCUAAUAGGUAGAUGGCAUAGGAUGAGUGUGCUAUAGCCAAACAGGGGUCUAGUUGCUUUGUUAGGUUGGCUAGGUACAAAUCUUUAGGAAUAUGUAGGUUAGUUGGGCAGGUUAGAAUAUUUUGUUGUGAAAUAAAUAGUUUAGGCAACCUAUCAAAAUAUAUAGGUUAGGUUGUUUGUGUAUUGAUCGGAUUGGCCUAAGCCACCAAUUUAGGUUUAGGUGAAUUAGGAGUAUGGCCCUAUUCCUUGUACCAGCAUUAAGUAACUCACUCUAGAUUAGAUCAUACUAGAUUAGAUAAAGUCUAGAUUAGGUUGGUAUGACUAGAUUAAACAAGUUUAAGUUAUAAAGAUUUACUAGGGUAGGAUAAAUAUCAUUAGGAUAUGUUAGAAUCUUUUGAGAUAAGAUGGAUCUAUUAAGAUAAGAGAGGGUAUUUUAAGAUAAGAUGGAUCUAUGAGUGUAGGAUAGAGUCUUUUAAGAUGAGAUGGAUAUUGUUAGGCUAGAUACUUUAAUGAGGGAUAAUCUAGUUUGUCUAGUUAUUUUGAUGAGCAUUUUUUUUCCUAUAUGUAUAUGCAGAUGUAAUUGUGGACAUUACUCCACAACUCAUCACACUCAAUCAAAGAUCCAAAUCAAACAAGUAUCAUAAGAACAAGCAUUCAAGCAUAUAGAUACUUACAAAAAUAGUUUUGAUUUUGUCCCUAAGAUGAGGUCUCCUAUCCUAAAGUUCACUAGAUUUCAAAGUGUGAAAUCCACAUUUGUCUUUAGAAAGGGAAAGGUGAGAAUAAUCAGAGUAAAGCAGAAAUAGAUGAGAAAAGAUUAAGAAAAGUUUAGAAAAGAAUCAGAGUAGCAAAGGUAAGUAAGUAAGGGGUGUCCAGUUCUAUCUAGGUUCCGUCCUACAGUCAACAUUCCUCUGAUACCACUUCUGUAACACCCGGAUUUUAGGGGUCCAAAACCCGGGCGCUAACAUAAACACCAGGUAUGCUGGGACCAAGUCUCACACAUAUGAUGUAAAGUGGCACAGGAUCGAAUGUCACAUCUUUAUAUAUAACAGGAGUUCUAUACAAAAUAAAUAAUUACAUUAUAAGGAGACAACGGUCCAGCAACCCAAAGUUGACUGGGAGACGACGGCCUAGACCACUCACGAACUCAUCACAGCAUCCUCCACGCGCCUCAUCCUGUGGUACCUGCUCCUGACCUGUGGGGGGGGUGUGAGACAGCAAGAGUGAGCUCACAUACGUUCAUCGCUCAGCAAGUUGUGGGGAAUAAUGUGUAUGAACUCGCCAAAGGUGGGAGCUCAUGUGAAGUGUAAGGCUUACCAAAGAGGAUGGCUGAAGCUGAGCAUUGCUUUUAAAGUUGGUCAAAUUUUUAUUAGCCAUUACUAAGUAUAAGUAAAUACCAACCCAAUUAAAUAGUAGAACAGAAGUAACAACAUCACCUGCGAUGCAAUGCAUAUGACAAAUUGAAUUUAAGUUCCAUAGAUUAAUCAUGUGAGUGUCCGAGCCGCUCAUGACCGUGAGCACGGCUAGUAUACCAGUUUUACACUCUGCAGAGGUUGCGCAUCUUUACCCACAAGUCAUGUUACCCAUCUGCCAAGGGAUCGCGAC